RNAcentral lists this ribosomal RNA (466 nucleotides) under uncultured bacterium. RNAcentral describes it as "partial 16S ribosomal RNA". It matches the Rfam family "Bacterial small subunit ribosomal RNA", at positions 28 to 507 of the family's 1533-position model. The record is from RNAcentral.
GACGAACGCUGGCGGUGUGCUUAACACAUGCAAGUCGAACGGUAAGGCCCUUUCGGGGGUACACGAGUGGCGAACGGGUGAGUAACACGUGAGUAACCUGCCCUCAUCUCUGGGAUAACAGUCGGAAACGGUUGCUAAUACUGGAUAUGAGCUUGCAAGGCAUCUUGUGGGUUGGAAAGAUUUUUUUGGUUGGGGAUGGACUCGCGGCCUAUCAGCUUGUUGGUGAGGUAGUGGCUCACCAAGGCUUCGACGGGUAGCCGGCCUGAGAGGGCGACCGGCCACAUUGGGACUGAGAUACGGCCCAAACUCCUACGGGAGGCAGCAGUGGGGAAUAUUGCACAAUGGACGGAAGUCUGAUGCAGCAACGCCGCGUGCGGGAGGACGGCCUUCGGGUUGUAAACCGCUUUCAAUUGUGACGAAGCUUUUUGUGACGGUAGCAGUAGAAGAAGCACCGGCUAACUACGUG